GACGAGCCGCGUGGGGGAUGAAUGGCUUCGGCCCGUAAACCCCUGUCAUCUGCGAGCAAUCCCUUUGGUCCAACACACCUGAGGUUGAUAGUAGUAGAAGAGGAAGGGACGGCUAACUCUGUGCCAGCAGCCGCGGUAAUACAGAGGUCCCAAGCGUUGUUCGGAUUUACUGGGCGUAAAGGGUGCGUAGGCGGCCACUAUAGUCUGAUGUGAAAUCUCGGUGCUCAACUCCGAAACUGCAUUGGAUACUGAGUGGCUCGAAGAACGUAGGGGAGACUGGAAUUCUCGGUGUAGCAGUGAAAUGCGUAGAUAUCGAGAGGAACACCAGUGGCGAAGGCGAGUCUCUGGACGUUUCUUGACGCUGAGGCACGAAAGCCAAGGGAGCAAACGGGAUUAGAUACCCCGGUAGUCUUGGCUGUAAACUGUGCGUAUUUGCUGUGAGGUGAUUAAAACCGUCUCGUGGCGUAGCUAACGCGAUAAAUACGCCGCCUGGGGAGUACGGUCGCAAGAUUAAAACUCAAAGAAAUUGACGGGGGCCUGCACAAGCGGUGGAGUAUGUGGCUUAAUUCGAUGCAACGCGAAGAACCUUACCUAGCCUUGACAUGCAAGUAGUAGAAGUGUGAAAGCACGACGAGGUAGCAAUACCCGCUUGCACAGGUGCUGCAUGGCUGUCGUCAGCUCGUGUCGUGAGAUGUUGGGUUAAGUCCCGCAACGAGCGCAACCCC
RNAcentral lists this ribosomal RNA (725 nucleotides) under uncultured bacterium. RNAcentral's name for it is "bacterial SSU rRNA". It matches the Rfam family "Bacterial small subunit ribosomal RNA", at positions 391 to 1105 of the family's 1533-position model. The record is from RNAcentral.